Molecule: ribosomal RNA, 492 nt
Filed under: uncultured bacterium
Lineage: Bacteria
Description: partial 16S ribosomal RNA
Rfam family: Bacterial small subunit ribosomal RNA
Source: RNAcentral
AGUGAACGCUGGCGGUAGGCCUAACACAUGCAAGUCGAACGGCAGCACAGUAAGAUCUUGCUCUUACGGGUGGCGAGUGGCGGACGGGUGAGGAAUACAUCGGAAUCUACUUUUUCGUGGGGGAUAACGUAGGUAAACGUACGCUAAUACCGCAUACGACCUACGGGUGAAAGCAUGGGAUCUUCGGACCUUGCGCGAUUGAAUGAGCCGAUGUCGGAUUAGCUAGUUGGCGGGGUAAAGGCCCACCAAGGCGACGAUCCGUAGCUGGUCUGAGAGGAUGAUAAGCCACACUGGAACUGAGACACGGUCCAGACUCCUACGGGAGGCAGCAGUGGGGAAUAUUGGACAAUGGGCGAAAGCUUGAUACAGCCAUACCGCGUGGGUGAAGAAGGCCUUCGGGUUGUAAAGCCCUUUUGUUGGGAAAGAAAAGCAGCAGGUUAAUACCCCGCUGUUCUGACGGUACCCAAAGAAUAAGCACCGGCUAACUUCGUG